This is a long non-coding RNA of Anguilla rostrata (American eel), 3239 nucleotides long. RefSeq lists it as uncharacterized. The record is from RefSeq and is a predicted model, not a curated record. The transcript is spliced from 3 exons. Lineage: Eukaryota; Metazoa; Chordata; Actinopteri; Anguilliformes; Anguillidae.
UCUGUCGCUUUCUGCUCUGCGAACACCGCUUGUCAUAUUUUCUUUUACUCUUUCUUUUGGAAGUAUUCUUUGCGCGGUUUUAAUACAGUAGGUGAAAAAUAAAGAAAAGGUCCGCAAAAUAAUCGGUGCAUUUUGUGCCGUCAAAGAUUUAUCAUCACUCCAUGAGGUUCCUCACAACAUUGUCCACAGCGGUUUUUAAGUAUUACAUUUAUACCUACUGCCAUUGUGAUAACGGAAAACCACAUCACCGUGAACAUGCAGAAGAGGAGCCUUGUAUUCUGAGGUGGAUGUAUAAUUAUCCAAAGAAGCCUUUCACCCAUUUUUCACUCAUUUUUCUGAACAGCCAUCAUGAGUACUGAACCAGUACACCUUGCUCUGGUGCCUGUACGAUGCAGAGGCAACUUGUUGAUCAAGACACUACUUUUCAUUUUUAUUUUUGUUAUUUCUUUUUCUUCUUAUUUGUCAGGAACUUACAACUGGACUACCUUAAUGGUAAUAGCCAUUUCAUUUUUAAAAAAUAGUUCAGAAAUGCCACCUUGACAUACAGAAUUCAGAAGAUAUGGAAAUUUUGUCAGUGUCAAAGCUAAUUUCAUUCAGAAAACAUUGUUACACAAUUGUAAUGCUAUAAAUGAGGCCAAAGAGCAGGAAAUGUAUAGUUAUACUGCGUUCAUCAGAACAUUUGGUCGAAAAAUCCGAAGUACAUGUGGGAUAAACAUUCCAGUAGGUGGUUGUUAAUAUACUCAAUUCAUGUACCAGUUAAGGUUAAACCAUAGAGAAAUUAUCUUGCAUUGCUCCAUUUAUCAUAUCAUCAGUGGUGGACAAAGUACACAACUCCAUUACUUGAGUCAAAGUAUAGACGCUUUCCACGGUAACAACAUACACAAAUGUUACUGCGCAUGUGCGUUGUUCUGACCCUAACUUAACUUCCGGCAGACUACCGCAAACAAUCAAUAACAACGGAGUCACUUUAGACUAUUUCUGAUAACAAGCAAAAUAAAUAAUAAGUAAAUGAUGUUAGCUAGAUAGUUAAAACUAUGUCAAGCCAGUAUUAUUUGGGGUUACCAGUCGAAGAAAAGAACCGUUACUUGGCCAAACUCAAAUGCGAUAACGUUACACUACCAGAAAAACAAGCGACAGAAACAGAUAACUGUUGACAGUAUUGCACCUUGCGGAACAUCAUACAUUCCUUGCAUAAUCCAUAACUAUUCUGGUUACAUGCACAUUCUUGUGUAAAAAGUGCACUCUUUCUAUUACAUUGCUUAAAAACGAUGAUUACAUGAGACACAAAAUGGGGCUAGUGCUGGGCAGCAUGUGUAGCCAAUGCAAUUACUAUAGGUAUUUAUUUGUAUAGCAUGCAUUGAUGGAAAAACACCGUGGCUCUAAUAGUUUGGGUCAUCUUGCUAGGUUACCACAACAAAAAAUGAUCAAGCAAUGCAACAUUGUCAAGUCAUUGGAAACAGGUAUCAAAAUGUUCGUUAAAAACGUAGCUAUAGCGUAUCAACUACUAGCAUUGAUCUAACGUUUCUGUGUAUAAUUUAUACAAUCUUAGCUACGUUUAGCUAGCUAGCUAGCUAGAAUUAAUUUAGUUAGCUAAUUGUUCAUAACUAUUAAAGGCUUGUUACUGGUCAGCUAGCUAUUAGCUAUCGCUUAUCAUGAGUUUGUUACCUGAAACAAAGUCAGUGCUACAGUGAGAGCACCUAGUCGACCACCUUCGUUCGACAGACAGGAAAACGUAAACUGAUUUGCAACUAUAUAUGAAAUAGGUGAAAUAUCGGUAACAACCUGUACCUAGUUAAGUAAGAAAAAAUGUCCUUGUUAUCCUCCCGUGGUUAUUUUUUCAACACUUUGACGAUUUUUUUUCGGUGCCGGCAAAUUAGUCAGAGGUGGUCCAGCGCUAGCUUUUGGUUGCUAAAGGGGACGUGUAUCCACAACCCUAUAAAUUAAUGGAACUUAACAUAAAUUUGCUAGCAUCCUGUAUAAAUGUCCUGUCUUGCGUAUUUGAGGUUAAUAUGAGAAAGGGCGAUCCCUAUCAGCACGUCUAGGAAUCCGUACAUAUUCACUGUUGUCACUCAAGUCGCAGGACGCAAAAUAGCCGUUGGGAAAGCAGUUUGAAUGUAUGAAGCAACGUCUACGCCAUUGGCUUUAAUGGGUCACGAUGAGAUAAUUACGAGCGUGUUGCUUGUCUUAAAGUUGAUAUAGUAAAUAAGGCUGUAUUAGUAUUACUAAAUGUUUAUGUAUGAAGUUGAUUUAUUUAUUUAUACAGUUUAUUAUGUGUAUUUUUACAGGACUUACAUUUGAAUAGGUAACGAUGUCCAGUUAUUUCUCAAAAAUACGAAGUAACGGGCAAGCACCAGCUAUAAUAAUCGCAGGGAUUCAAGCAAUUCGUCUCACAAACGUUAGCUAACGUUUACAUACCUCGACAUGCUAUUUCAGGUUGGACGGCGAGUUUUUGAAUGCAGCGAUGUAGUUCGUGCGCGGUAAGCAGAGCAAACAUUUAAAACAAUAUGAAUCUUUCUGAAUUUCACAAAUCUCAAACAUGGACUUGAGAUAUAGCCAUGGAUGCUCUGGUGGCGAAGAAUCAUCCUUAUCUUCUGCCGUCGCCAUCAUUACCGCCGCCAAGUUCAAAUUGAACUGUUCAAUCUCUGGUGCAACAAGCAAGCACUUUGAACUUGACCGACAGCCUAUUAGGAGUAGGCUACUGUGAUUGGUUUCUCUCCUGUGAGGAACACAGCGUGUGGCCAAUCGCAUUUUAGAAAAUAAAAAAAGAUUCAACUGAUGACUUCAAAGCUAUGCUUCAAAGUAACGAGUAACGACAACCUUCAUAGAAAUGUAGUGGAGUCAAAAGUACAAUAUUUCAAAUGUAGUGGAGUAAAAGUCAUAAGUUUCCAAAAAAAUAAAUACUCAAGUAAAGUACAGAUACUCGAAAAAUGUACUUAAGUAUAGUACUUGUACUUACUGUCCACCCCUGCAUAUCAUGUACCUGUGUCCAUACUAUAUCACAAUGGCCUCUACUAAAACUGCUCAACAGAGCUCAGCUGAGGUCUAUGGUCCAGGGUCCGAGCUUCUUAUUUUACUUUCAGAUUUCAUGUGAUGGCUAAUUUUCUCUGGAUUAAUUUCCACGUGUGAGAUGUAGAGGCAGGUAACUGCCAAAAUAAAGGAUACAAUAAAUGGGGGAUACAAAGUAUAAUGAAAGCAGGAGCAUCCACACAGGUGGGGUUCUUGACUUGUGCGAGUAACAU